NNNCUGUGGGUAUGGAACAGCCGGUUCCCAGUUCCUCCCAGUUCAUUCCCAGUCUAUUCCCAGUCACUCCCUGUCUAUCGCAGUCCAUUCCCAGUUCCCUCCCAGUCCAUUCCAGUUCCCAGAACCCGGCUGCGGUUCCAUGUGAGGACACCGGGAGGUGCUGUUGGUCCUCCCAGCUGCUAGGGGGCGCCAGUAAGGGUGGACAGGCUCGGUCCUCCUGGCCACUAGGGGGUGCUGUGGGUACAGAGCAGUCGGUUCCCAGUCCCUCCCAGUCCAUUUCAGUCCAUUCCCAAUCCCCUCCCAGUCCCUCCCAGUCCACAGAACCCAGCUGUGGUUCCAUGUGGGGACACCGGGAGGCGCCGUUGGUCCUCUUGGCCUCUAGGGGGCGCUGUGGGUAUGGAACAGCCGGUUCCCAGUCCAUCCCAGUCACUCCCUGUCUAUCGCAGUCCAUUCCCAGUUCCCUCCCAGUCCAUCCCAGUCGCUUCCAGUUCCUCCCCGUCCAUUCCAGUCCCCAGAACCCGGCUGCGGUUCUGUAUGAGGACACCGGGAGGUGCUGUUGGUCCUCCCAGCCGCUAGGGGGCGCCAGUAAGGGUGGACAGGCUCGGUCCUCCUGGCCACUAGGGAGCACUGUGGGUACAGAGCAGUCGGUUCCCAGUCCCUCCCAGUGGCUUCCAGUCCAUUCCCAAUCCCCUCCCAGUCCCUCCCAGUCCUCAGAACCCAGCUGUGGUUCCAUGUGGGGACACCGGGAGGUACCGUUGGUCCUCCUGGCCGCUAGGGGGCAUCAGUACAACUGGAUGGGCUCAGUCCUCCUGGCCACUAGGGGGCGCUGUGGGUAUGGAACAGCCGGUUCCCAGUCCCUCCCAGUGACUCCCAGUCUCCAGAACCCAGCUGCAGUUCCAUGUGGGCACACUGGGAGGCGCGGCUGAGGGAGGAGGUUGGGUCUUCCAGGCCUCUAGGGGGUGCUGUGGGUAUGGAAUAGCCGGUUCCCAGUCCCUCUCAGUGGCUCCCAGUCCAUCCCAGUCCAUUCCCAAUCCCCUCCCAGUCCUCAGAACCCGGCUGCAGU
Molecule: long non-coding RNA, 1063 nt
Filed under: Zonotrichia albicollis (white-throated sparrow)
Lineage: Eukaryota; Metazoa; Chordata; Aves; Passeriformes; Passerellidae
Description: lncRNA (ENSZALG00000009168.1)
Source: RNAcentral